CAAAGAAUAGUUUAAUGAAAAUAAUAAUUUUGGAGAUUAUAGAUAAAGUGAAUCUUUUUCUUUGA
This 65-nucleotide transfer RNA is filed under the name Delias pasithoe. RNAcentral describes it as "tRNA-Pro". Lineage: Eukaryota; Metazoa; Arthropoda; Insecta; Lepidoptera; Pieridae. RNAcentral also lists the same sequence under 1 other name. The record is from RNAcentral.